GUGUCUCCUGCUGCGCUCGAACCCCUGUGACAUACCUAUACGUUGCCUCGGCGGAUCAGCCCGCGCCCCGUAAAACGGGACGGCCCGCCCGAGGACCCCUAAACUCUGUUUUUAGUGGAACUUCUGAGUAAAACAAACAAAUAAAUCAAAACUUUCAACAACGGAUCUCUUGGUUCUGGCAUCGAUGAAGAACGCAGCAAAAUGCGAUAAGUAAUGUGAAUUGCAGAAUUCAGUGAAUCAUCGAAUCUUUGAACGCACAUUGCGCCCGCCAGUAUUCUGGCGGGCAUGCCUGUUCGAGCGUCAUUUCAACCCUCAAGCUCAGCUUGGUGUUGGGACUCGCGGUAACCCGCGUUCCCCAAAUCGAUUGGCGGUCACGUCGAGCUUCCAUAGCGUAGUAAUCAUACACCUCGUUACUGGUAAUCGUCGCGGCCACGCCGUUAAACCCCAACUUCUGAAUGUUGACCUCGGAUCAGGUAGGAAUACCCGCUGAACUUAAGCAUAUCAAAGUGGGGGAGGAAA
This 519-nucleotide ribosomal RNA is filed under the name Fusarium chlamydosporum. RNAcentral describes it as "eukaryotic LSU rRNA". The stretch from base 150 to 303 matches the Rfam family "5.8S ribosomal RNA". The record is from RNAcentral. Lineage: Eukaryota; Fungi; Ascomycota; Sordariomycetes; Hypocreales; Nectriaceae.